This 4326-nucleotide long non-coding RNA is filed under the name Bemisia tabaci. RNAcentral's name for it is "lncRNA ENSSSA2NGG010850". The record is from RNAcentral. Lineage: Eukaryota; Metazoa; Arthropoda; Insecta; Hemiptera; Aleyrodidae.
GGAGGGUACUUACUGUCGGACUUGUUUCGGAAGUUGGACGCUCGUGGCGUUUACCCGCAUUUGCUGAUUGUUCGACUUAAUCUUUUGUUGUUGGAGACUGCGCACCUCUUCCUCGUAACGAAUGAGGAGUCCCUCGUCCUCUCGUGCGCAGGAAGGCCACCCCACCCUCCGAAAACCAAUUCAGUUUCCUCAGUUGCAUCCACGGCAAUCACUCGAGCCGUUUCGACUCAAAGAUCUCAUCCGCCUCAAAAGUACAAUGUAUCCACAAGCCUCGUGGGUGAUGAUCACGUUGGCAUUUUCAAUAGCGACGCUGGAGGUGGCCUCAGAGGAGUACAAUGUUCAACGAAGAGAUGAUUUACGUUGUAAAUGUUCUGUCAACUGGUGCUUCAGUGUGAAUUUUGCACUGGAAGGCGACCGGUGCGAUUUGGGAAGCGGUCACGACAAAUACAGCUCGAAGUACUAACAUCUCGCAACGAUGUCUUGAUGAAUGAUUCUAGAAAUAAUGGCUUCUCAUACGAGCCAAGUCAAUACGUACCGCGCUUGAACAGUCAGAGCAAUGUGAGACAAAAAUUCCCUCUAGAAAUUAAUGAAUAGGCCAGUUUAGGUCUUUGAAAUUAAUGAAAAAUAAAAUGUCUCAAAAUUUUCAUAGAACUCUUCUUUCUAGAUUCUUUCUUCUUAUUCAUCGAAAAGAAACCUUUCAAAAAUGUUAUGCAAGAUCAUCUGUGAACCAGCUUCUUUUUCUAAUCCAAAAGUGCCCUUCGGAUAAAAAAACCGACCUACGUCAUCAAAAAAAUCUCAAGAUGCCCGAAAUGCAAACACCUUUUUUUUCUCUGGGCCUCCUCAGAGGCAGGAAAGAGAAGACUCUGGACUCCCAUUCCCAUUCAUCACUUUAAAAACCUUAAAUAUUUUAAUUCCUUGCUUCCACCACUUGAAAAUCGAUGAUCGAACCUUGUAGAUGUUUCGAAACAUCCCAGCUAACAUUUAAGUUGAUCUUUGGUGAUUAACAGGGCUUCUAAUUUUUCUUCACUCAUUGCUCUCCCAGGUUUUGCCUGAAGAACGUACUUAAAUAAUCUUAUUUUAGAUUUUGGUAAGUAUGCCCUAGUAGCAGACAUUCCAAUUUUGUAUAAAUUUUGUUUAGAUGAAAUUGGAAUUUUAUAGAUGCAACAAAAAAUGGGGGAAAAUGUCAAUUUAAUCGCGAUUUUAUUUCAAUUUGAUCUCGAUUUUUUUUUAAAAAAAAAAUUUCAAUUUUGUAGCGAUUUUGUAGCAAUUUUAUGCAAUCAAUAUUCAAUUUUUAUUCCAAUUUAUUUAUUUUUUUUAUAGCGAUGAAAUUGAAAUUUCAUGUCUUUUUAAUUGGAAUUGAACAGUAUUUUACUCAUUCAAAAUAUCUAACACAAAAAAAAACAAAAAUCAGAAAAUUAUAGAAACAACAUUCGUACUUUAUCGGAAUUAUUCAUAAGGUGCGCAACCUUCACACCCAAGAUUGCUGCCUCUUGCACAGUUAAUGCACCUUCAUGCCAGUAGUGCAAAUCGUCAAUUAACAAAAAUGAGCUGUGGAUUUCAUUUUGAUACAUGGCACUUGGGUAACAGUGCUUUUCUGAAACUGCUUCUGUGCAAUUUGAACGUUUUUCCUUAUUCAACUCCUAAUUUGAGAUUACUAAAUAACAAAAAUAUUUUUAUUUAAUUUUGAUAAAAUCCAGAUACCAUCUCAACAUAACCCUUAUGAAACUGUCCCAUAGGGUUUUCAUCAUUUUCCCAUGGGUUUUCACGGAAUCCCAUAGGAUUCUCGUGAAAACCCAUGGGAUCUGACUGGUUCCCAUGGGAUCGAUGAGAUUCUCAUGGGGAAUGAUGGAGACCUCAUGGGGAAUGAUGGAGACCUCAUGGGGAAUGAUGGAGACCUCAUGGGGAAUGACGGAGACCUCAUGGGGAACAACGAGGACCUCAUGGGGAACGACGGGAACCUCAUGGGGAUGGAGGGGGACCUCAUGGGGAUGGAUGAAGACCCUAUGAGGAUCAAUGGGGACCAUAGGGGACCCCGUGGGAACUGAUGGGGUGACGACCAAGGCUCAUAGGGCAACUAAGAGAGUUGAAUAGAGAACUUAAGAAAUUCCUAAGGGUCUGCUGGGAACCUAUCAGGCAAAACACGCAAAUCAGGACCUAUGGUUUUAUCUUAUUUUAGAGAAAGUAAGGAAUGCUGAUUAUAACAAAAUUUGAGGAACAAUUACUUUUAUCCCUGUUGAAUGAAAAAAAUAAAACGAAGCACCUACCUAAAAAAAUAAAAUAAAGUAAAUAAAUAAAAUAAAGUAAAUGAAUAAAAUAAAAUAGAUAAAUAAAUAAAAUAAAGUAAAUUAAUAGAAUAAAGUAAAGAAAUAAAAUAAAUUAAAUAAAUAAAUAAAAUAAAGUAGAUAAAUAAAAUAAAGUAGAUAGAUAAAAUAAAUUAAAUAAAUAAAAUAAAGUAAAUAAAUAAAUAAAGUAGAUAGAUAAAAUAAAUUAAAUAAAUAAAAUAAAGUAAACAAAUAAAAUACCUGAAGUCUAAAGCAAAUCAAUCUAAAAAAACACAAAAAGUAAAACAAAUGACGUAAAAUAAUAUAUUGAAGUGAAAGAAUAAAAUGACGUAAAAUAAUGCAUUAAAAUAAAAAUCAAACAAAUCUAUGUAAGUUGGUCGAGAUAUCCUGGCUGUCCGUUCAAUUAGAAACUAAAUGCGGGUUUUUCGUAUCUUCGUUCAAAUUCACGCCAUAGCUCAGUAGGUAGGAUUCUCGUCUUCGGUUAGGUAGGUCCCAGGUUCAAUUCCCGACGUAGGCAAAAAAAUUCUACACGUAAAUAACGAGAACUGUGUGCUCCUGUGCCCACAAAAGUCUCAUGGACCUUAUUUUUCGCGGUUUUAGAAAUUAUUAAUAAUAAAUUAAACACCCCCCCCCCCCCCAGGAAAUUGGCUCGAGGUUUUUCCCCAUGGGAUCAAUAAUGGCCCAUGGGGUAAAAAGUUCCCAUGGGGUAGUAAGUUCCCAUGGGGAUUCAACUUUCCCAUGGGGGAAAAACCCCGGGCCAAUUUCCGGUGGGGUUCAAAAACCCCAUGGGACAGUUUCAUAAGGAAUUGAAAUUUAAUAAGUAUUUAAUCGCUAUUAAAUUCAAAUAAAAAGGUGACUUCAAGAAGAUUUAAUUGGAAUGUAAUCGAAAUCUCAUCUCAAUAAAAUCGCAAUUAAAUUCUUGCAAAAUUUUCAGAAAAUUGUAAAGAAAUACGUGCUAAUGCUACUAGGGUGCCUAAAUUCGAAAAUAUUGUUUCGAAUAGUUAGGUCUUUUUUGCCUAAAUGCACUUCGUGCUUGGAUAGGUCUUUUAUGCCUAAAUACACUUUCGCCUAGAUACUUAGGACUUUCAUUCCUAAAUGCACACUCGCUUUAGGUAGGACUUUUUGUGAGCCAUGGAGGUGCAAGACCACUACAUGAACUCGGUUUGCAAGGUGUGUAGUUACAUCCCAAGUAGCAUUUUUCAAAGUUAAAGUUGCAAGAAGUUGAAACAAUAUUGGUUAAAAGUCGCAACUUAGUUGCAACUCUCAGUCAACAUUUGGUCGAUAAGUGCCGAUUUUCGGUGAUCUGAUCGGAAGAAAGUCGCAACUUACAGCAAUUGAAUUGCAUGAAUCUUGCAACUUAUCGACGUUGCCUAAAUCAUCCCUGUUAAAAAUGACCAUGUUGGUAAUAAGUUGGUCUGGCCUAACAUGGUAGCAACAGGGUGAAUGGAACCUGUUAUCAUAUAUGAUAUCAACAUGUUACCAAUAUGAUAUCACCACUGAAAAAAAAAGUUCCAAAAUGCGAAAUGCUUAAAUUUAGGCGCGCUGCACGUUCUUAGGCAUAAUUUUCAUCACGAACACCAGAGAAGUGCCGCUGAGAGAACCCGACAAUCAAUGUUCGCCAGAAUUAAGCCGCGCUGGCGCCCGAGUUCCCAAGCGGUCACCCAUCGAAGUACUUAACUACUACGCCCGACGUUGCUGAACUUCGGUGAUCGCCCGAGUGUCGCUGCCACUCCGCCACGGACGCUCGCGUGCGGGAGGAGGCUAAUUUAGCACUAAUAAACGUCCCCAGAUCUGAUUCAAUGAUUAGAAUAUGAUAUUCUUGCAAUUUUAUACAUCAUUCAGUCUCACAAUGAAGGAUACGAAAAUGAUAUAAGUAGAUCAAGUUUUUGAAAGAGGAGAGUACGAACAACACAUGAAAAAAAUAAAAUAAAAUAUGGACGGAUUAGUAAAAUGAAAAUAUUAAAAAAGAAUUAAGAUAAAUAAAUAAUAUAAAUUAAUGAAAAAUGAUUAAUAAUUGACUUACUUUCUUUCUUUUUUCCUUUCU